AUGAGGGUCAAGUGCACUGAGAAGCGCAAGGUGAACCCCUACUGCUUCAACCGGAACAUGGACUGCCCCGCCAACUGCCCCCAGUCCUGCUACCCCGACUGCAACACAUGCAAACCCGUCUGCGUCUGCAACACCCCCGGAGCAUGCGGCGACCCGCGGUUCAUCGGUGGUGACGGCAACGCCUUCUACUUCCACGGACGCAGGGACGCCGACUUCUGCGUCGUCUCCGACCGCGACCUUCACAUCAACGCGCACUUCAUCGGCAAGAGCGGCCACAGCGGCAUGUCCCGGGACUUCACCUGGAUCCAGGCCAUUGCCGUGCUCUUCGACGGCCACCGCCUCUACCUCGGUGCCAGGAAGACCGGCACCUGGGACGACGCCGUCGAGCACCUGGACAUCACCCUCGACGGCGAGCAUGCGACCAACGGCGUCCUCGUCGCCGUCGCCGGAAAGUUCAGCGUCAGGGCCAACGCCGUGCCCAUCACCGGGGAGGAAUCGAGGGUGCACCGCUACGGCGUCACCGCCGAUGACUGCCUCGCGCACCUCGAGCUGGCGUUCAAGUUCGACGCCCUCACCGACGACGUCCACGGUGUGGUCGGACAGACGUACCGCUCCGACUACGUGAACCAUUUCGACGUGAGGGCAUCCAUGCCCACCAUGGGAGGAGAUGCCACCUUCACCACCUCCAGCCUGUUCGCCGCCGACUGCAGCGUGGCGCGCUAUGGAGUCAGCCGUGGAAACGACGGUGCCGCGGUGCAAUCUGAGCUCGCUGGUACUGUCACCUGCGCCAGUGGCAUGGACGGCAAGCGUGUGAUGUGCAAGAAGUAA
RNAcentral lists this ribosomal RNA (828 nucleotides) under Triticum aestivum (bread wheat). Its description in RNAcentral is "partial small subunit ribosomal RNA". Lineage: Eukaryota; Viridiplantae; Streptophyta; Magnoliopsida; Poales; Poaceae. The record is from RNAcentral.